UCAAGUCUAAUGGGAUCCAAGCGGUUCC
RNAcentral lists this non-coding RNA (28 nucleotides) under Bombyx mori (domestic silkworm). Lineage: Eukaryota; Metazoa; Arthropoda; Insecta; Lepidoptera; Bombycidae. The record is from RNAcentral.